RNAcentral lists this ribosomal RNA (400 nucleotides) under uncultured bacterium. RNAcentral describes it as "bacterial SSU rRNA". It matches the Rfam family "Bacterial small subunit ribosomal RNA", at positions 129 to 524 of the family's 1533-position model. The record is from RNAcentral.
CCCGAUGGAGGGGGAUAACUACUGGAAACGGUAGCUAAUACCGCAUAACGUCUUCGGACCAAAGUGGGGGACCUUCGGGCCUCACACCAUCGGAUGUGCCCAGAUGGGAUUAGCUAGUAGGUGGGGUAAUGGCUCACCUAGGCGACGAUCCCUAGCUGGUCUGAGAGGAUGACCAGCCACACUGGAACUGAGACACGGUCCAGACUCCUACGGGAGGCAGCAGUGGGGAAUAUUGCACAAUGGGCGCAAGCCUGAUGCAGCCAUGCCGCGUGUAUGAAGAAGGCCUUCGGGUUGUAAAGUACUUUCAGCGGGGAGGAAGGCGGUGAAGUUAAUAACUUCACCGAUUGACGUUACCCGCAGAAGAAGCACCGGCUAACUCCGUGCCAGCAGCCGCGGUAAU